UAAAAGAAAUCAUUUUUAGUACUGCCUGCUCAAUGAAUUCAAUAGCCGCAGACCCCUGUGCUAAGGUAGCAUAAUCAUUUGCCUAAUAAUUAUAGGAUAGAAUGAAAGGUGAUACACGUUUCCUUCUUUACAAAAAGGUUAUUUUAAAUUAAGAUUUAAGUAAAAUCCCUUAAAUGAAAAGGGGGACGACAAGACCCUGUCGAACUUUACACUAACGUUUAGCUGGGGCGGCAAAAAAUUACACCUUUUAUCUACCACUUACAAAAAAACCUUUCUAUAAGAUAAACAAGUUACCGCAGGGAUAACAGCAUAAUUUUUUCCAAGAGACCUUAUUCAAGAAAAUGAUUGUGACCUCGAUGUUGAAUUAAAAUUCUUUUAUGAAGCAAAAUUCUAAAAAGAAGGUCUGUUCGACCUUUAAAUAUUU
This 424-nucleotide ribosomal RNA is filed under the name Kwonkan sp. MYG343. Its description in RNAcentral is "partial 16S ribosomal RNA". It matches the Rfam family "Bacterial large subunit ribosomal RNA", at positions 1834 to 2597 of the family's 2925-position model. Lineage: Eukaryota; Metazoa; Arthropoda; Arachnida; Araneae; Anamidae. The record is from RNAcentral.